GAUGAAUGCUGGCGGCGUGCCUAAUACAUGCAAGUCGAGCGGUAAGGCCCCUUCGGGGGUACACGAGCGGCGGACGGCUGAGUAACGCGUAGGAACGUACCCCGAAGUGAGGCAUAAGCACUGGAAACAGUGUCUAAUACCGCAUGUGCUCUACGGAGUAAAGGAUUUAUCCGCUUUGGGAACGGCCUGCGUCUGAUUAGCUUGUUGGUGAGGUAAAAGCUCACCAAGGCGACGAUCAGUAGCUGGUCUGAGAGGAUGAUCAGCCAGACUGGGACUGAGACACGGCCCAGACUCCUACGGGAGGCAGCAGUAGGGAAUUUUCCACAAUGGGCGAAAGCCUGAUGGAGCAACGCCGCGUGCAGGAUGAAUGCCCUUGGGUUGUAAACUGCUUUUACGAGUGACGAAUAUGACGGUAGCUCGUGAAUAAGGAUCGGCUAACUCCGUGCCAGCAGCCGCGGUAAUU
Molecule: ribosomal RNA, 463 nt
Filed under: uncultured bacterium
Lineage: Bacteria
Description: bacterial SSU rRNA
Rfam family: Bacterial small subunit ribosomal RNA
Source: RNAcentral